AUGGCGGGUGCUGCACCACGCAAUGGUGAUUCGGCGGCCUCAGCGCUACUUCAGGCAACGACCACCCGGCGCCCUUGGGGCUGCUCCGACGCGACGACGAGUCUGACGGCCUUGGCGCUGCCCGUCCUGCCCGUCCCACCCCAGUGCGAUGGCAGCCCGCUGACCUUGGCGCUGCUUGCCCUUCGAACGUGCAGCCUAAAGGAAAAAUUAAGUUCCCCAGAAAUCCACUAUAAAGAAAUCACAGAGUAUUGA
Molecule: ribosomal RNA, 252 nt
Filed under: Triticum aestivum (bread wheat)
Lineage: Eukaryota; Viridiplantae; Streptophyta; Magnoliopsida; Poales; Poaceae
Description: partial small subunit ribosomal RNA
Source: RNAcentral